Molecule: ribosomal RNA, 541 nt
Filed under: uncultured Basidiomycota
Lineage: Eukaryota; Fungi; Basidiomycota
Description: LSU rRNA
Rfam family: Eukaryotic large subunit ribosomal RNA
Source: RNAcentral
GCGAGUGAAAGGGGAAAAGCUCAAAUUUAGAAUCUGGCGGCUUUGCCGUCCGAGUUGUAAAUUAGAGAAGUGUUUUCCAUGUGGGCUCCGUCGCAUAAGUCUCUUGGAAAAGAGCAUCAGAGAGGGUGACAAUCCCGUCUUUGUGACUGGCGUCUGCUGUUGUGAUACACUCUCAACGAGUCGAGUUGUUUGGGAAUGCAGCUCCAAAUGGGUGGUAAAUUCCAUCUAAAGCUAAAUAUUGGCGAGAAACCGAUAGCGAACAAGUACCGUGAGGGAAAGAUGAAAAGAACUUUGAAAAGAGAGUUAAACAGUAUGUGGAAUUGUUGAAAGGGAAACGCUUGAAGUCAGUCUUGUUCCACAGAAAUCAGCCUGACUCCGGUUUGGUGGACUUUCUGUUGAACAGGUCAGCAUCAGUUUUGACCGUUGGAGAAAGGCUUGGGAAAUGUGGCAUCUUCGGAUGUGUUAUAGUCUGAAGUGUAAUACAAUGGUUGGGACUGAGGAAUCGAGUGUCACUCGGUUUGGGGCUUCGGCCUACAGAUGA